CAGCCGCCGCGGGAAUACGAAGGGGGCUAGCGUUGUUCGGAAUUACUGGGCGUAAAGCGCACGUAGGCGGAUAUUUAAGUCAGGGGUGAAAUCCCAGAGCUCAACUCUGGAACUGCCUUUGAUACUGGGUAUCUUGAGUAUGGAAGAGGGGAGUGGAAUUCCGAGUGUAGAGGUGAAAUUCGUAGAUAUUCGGAGGAACACCAGUGGCGAAGGCGGCUCACUGGUCCAUUACUGACGCUGAGGUGCGAAAGCGUGGGGAGCAAACAGGAUUAGAUACCCGCGUAGUCCCUGUCUCUUAUAC
Molecule: ribosomal RNA, 301 nt
Filed under: uncultured bacterium
Lineage: Bacteria
Description: partial 16S ribosomal RNA
Rfam family: Bacterial small subunit ribosomal RNA
Source: RNAcentral